CCCGAAACGUGGAAAAAAAACACAUCUUUCUCCAAACGGGGGCGUCGCCCGCCGAAUGCAGGACGUGAUGUUGGCAAAAUGAGGUACACAUGCUGGAAAUCAGCGCCACCUGGGGGUCCUCGACGCUAUAAUCAGAGAACGAAAUUGAGGUCGGCUGGCCCUGAGGCAAGCUACAAGCAAGCUCCAGUGAGCACUUUCCUUCCACAUUUGGCAGGCAGUUCUUAGCCUUAUUAUCUAAGGACCCCGCUGUUGGGCACGAUCAUCAGGAGGGCGUGGCUGACAUGGGAAACUGAAGCAAGCGCCCACCCCAUCAGCCCCUGUGCAGCGCCGAACUGCCCGCCCGGUAUGUCAGUUAUUGCUUUCCCCGCCGACCCUUC
RNAcentral lists this long non-coding RNA (377 nucleotides) under Aotus nancymaae (Ma's night monkey). Its description in RNAcentral is "lncRNA (ENSANAG00000039464.1)". Lineage: Eukaryota; Metazoa; Chordata; Mammalia; Primates; Aotidae. The record is from RNAcentral.